CAAUAGCGUAUAUUAAAGUUGUUGCGGUUAAAAAGCUCGUAGUUGGAUUUCUGCUGAGGUUGACCGUUCCAUUUAAUCUUAGGAGUGAACGUGAUCAUGGCUCGACCGAGGCUUCUUCUAGAUGUAGCACUUGCACUUCAUUGUGUGGUGCGAAAUCUGGGCUUUUACUUUGAGGAAAUUAGAGUGUUUCAAGCAGGCGAAUGCCUUGAAUACAUUAGCAUGGAAUAAUACGAUAGGACUUUGGUUCUAUUUUGUUGGUUUCUAGGACCGAAGUAAUGAUUAAUAGGGAUAGUCGGGGCAUUCGUACUUAACUGUCAGAGGUGAAAUUCUUGGAUUUGUUAAAGACGAACUACUGCGAAAGCAUUUGCCAAGGAUGUUUUCAUUGAUCAAGAACGAAAGUUAGGGAUCGAAGACGAUUAGAUACCGU
RNAcentral lists this ribosomal RNA (427 nucleotides) under uncultured eukaryote. Its description in RNAcentral is "bacterial SSU rRNA". It matches the Rfam family "Eukaryotic small subunit ribosomal RNA", at positions 592 to 1018 of the family's 1831-position model. The record is from RNAcentral.